Molecule: ribosomal RNA, 459 nt
Filed under: uncultured bacterium
Lineage: Bacteria
Description: partial 16S ribosomal RNA
Rfam family: Bacterial small subunit ribosomal RNA
Source: RNAcentral
CCUACGGGUGGCAGCAGUGAGGAAUAUUGGUCAAUGGACGCAAGUCUGAACCAGCCAUGCCGCGUGCAGGAUGACGGCUCUAUGAGUUGUAAACUGCUUUUGUACGAGGGUAAACCCCGAUUCGUGUACCGGGUUGAAAGUAUCGUACGAAUAAGGAUCGGCUCACUCCGUGCCAGCAGCCGCGGUAAUACGGGGGAUACGGGCGUUAUCCGGAGUUAUUGGGUGGAACGGGAGGGUAGGUGGGGAUGCAAGUUGGGUGUAAAAACUACCGGCUCAACUGGUCGUCGCACUCAAGACUGCAGCGCUUGAGUGAAGUAGAGGCAGGCGGAAUUCCUAGUGUAGCGGUGAAAUGCGUAGAGAUUAGGAGGAACACCAGUGGCGAAGGCGGCCUGCUGGGCUUUUACUGACGCUGAGGCUCGAAAGUGUGGGGAGCAAACAGGAGUAGAUACCCGAGUAGUC